UCCACGCCGUAAACGAUGGGCACUAGCCGUCGGGCGUAAGCUCGGUGGCGGAGCUAACGCGUUAAGUGCCCCGCCUGGGGAGUACGGCCGCAAGGCUAAAACUCAAAGGAAUUGACGGGGACCCGCACAAGCGGUGGAGCAUGUGGUUUAAUUCGAAGCAACGCGCAGAACCUUACCUGGGCUUGACAUCCCGAUGACAGCCCCUGAAAGGGGGUCUUCCCGUUGCUUCGGCA
Molecule: ribosomal RNA, 233 nt
Filed under: uncultured bacterium
Lineage: Bacteria
Description: partial 16S ribosomal RNA
Rfam family: Bacterial small subunit ribosomal RNA
Source: RNAcentral